This is a long non-coding RNA of Leopardus geoffroyi (Geoffroy's cat), 887 nucleotides long. RefSeq lists it as uncharacterized. The record is from RefSeq and is a predicted model, not a curated record. Lineage: Eukaryota; Metazoa; Chordata; Mammalia; Carnivora; Felidae. The transcript has 6 exons.
CCGCGCGGGUAAGCGCGCUGGAGGGAUCCUGGCGGCGGGCGAGAACGCUAAGCCUGGCGUCUCAGAGCCCCGGGCCGGGCCUGCCAGGGUCCCCUAGACCCCAGGUCCCUCACGCCCUUCGCACGCGGCGAUGGGAUGGCCUCCUUCGCCUCUCUCUGUCCGCGAGAGGAGCUCUACCUCUUAGCCCUUGUCCCCAAAGAGAACAUCCACUUGCUUGGACUUGGACGUAAGAAAUAUUUUUCGCUUAUGGGUCAUUGUAAUUGUUCAAGUAAACUCUGAAAACGUUGGCAGUUAUUCUCACGUGGAGAGGCUCCCUCACGAAUCCAUCACGCUGCGCAGUGUGCCCAUGCGUCAGUAGAGGCAGAAAGUGAAGGAAGACACCAAAGUCACUAGAGCACCUUUAGGUUCACGGCGCAGUUGAGGUGUGGAGAUUUCCCAUAUACCCACUGCCUUCACACGUGCACAGCCUCCGCCGUUUGCAACAUUCUUCGCCAGGGGGAAGAGAAGUAGCAAAGCUCUAAAGGGAGAAUUAUUUUUUUGCAAUUUCCCCCCAUUUCAUCGCUCGUGGUGGAUAUCCACAUGUUCCAGUACCCUAUUUCAAAAAGAUGAUCCUUUCUCCUUUGAGUUGCCUUGGUAAUCUCAUACGGAACUCCGGCUUCAGCAGACUUCUCACCGAGGAAUCCUGUGUCAACAUUUGCAACUCAGAUGCCACGGAACCGUCCACUCAUAUCACCAGCCUGGCGUCUCUCCUGUGAUGCCGUAUGAAUCUCAAGGGCCGUCUUCUUUGCACCGAGCGGCAGAUGAUAUUGGUAGUGAAAACACAAAACACGGAGUCAAGAAGAACUGGUCGCUGCACAUGUCGGUCCUGCCGGGCACUAACAAGGUGA